This 256-nucleotide ribosomal RNA is filed under the name Staphylococcus aureus. Its description in RNAcentral is "partial 23S ribosomal RNA". It matches the Rfam family "Bacterial large subunit ribosomal RNA", at positions 1266 to 1520 of the family's 2925-position model. The record is from RNAcentral. Lineage: Bacteria; Bacillati; Bacillota; Bacilli; Caryophanales; Staphylococcaceae.
AGGACAUGUGGAGCGCUUAGAAGUGAGAAUGCAGGUGUGAGUAGCGACAGCCGGGUGAGAAUCCAGUCCACCGAGUGCCUAAGGUUUCCAGAGGAAGGCGAGUCCGCUCUGGGUUAGUCGGGUCCUAAGCUGAGGCCGACAGGCGUAGGCGAUGGAUAACAGGUUGAUAUUCCUGUACCACCUAUAAUCGUUUUAAUCGAGGGGGGGACGCAGUAGGAUAGGCGAAGCGUGCGAUUGGAUUGCACGGCUAAGCAGU